This 834-nucleotide long non-coding RNA is filed under the name Fukomys damarensis (Damara mole-rat). RNAcentral's name for it is "lncRNA (ENSFDAG00000026024.1)". The record is from RNAcentral. Lineage: Eukaryota; Metazoa; Chordata; Mammalia; Rodentia; Bathyergidae.
AAACAAUUGAGACAUUAUUUAUGUAACAACUGUAUAUAAAGUAUUUCCUGUUCUGUUUUAAAAUGUUAACCGCUUGCCAAGAAUGGUAGCACGUACCUAUAAUUCUAGUACUUGGGAGGCUGAGGCAAGAGGAUCAGGAGUUUGAAACCAGCCUAGGCUACAUAGCAAGUUCAAGGCCAGUGCUGACCACAAAAGGGAGGCCCUGUAUCAACAAGAAAACAAAACUACUACUAAAUUGGUUUCUUGUUUUUGUUUUUGGUACAGAGGCUUGAACUUGAGACCUUGGGCUUAGUGAGGCAGGUGGCAGAACCACUGAGCGAAAUCCCCAGCCCUGCUACUAAAUUGUUAGCUGCUUUAAUUUUGAUACCUCUAUGAGCCUCAUCUCUCACCCCCGCCAUUGGAGUUACCUGGUUCCUCCAGAUUCCAAGCUUCCCUGUGGUUCCAAGGGUACGUGGCCAGCAACCAGAGUCUGCAGGCAUGGUCUAUGGAGAGAACCUCAGCAUGUUAAUCACGCAGUCAGCUCACAUCUUGGUUAAGAAGAGAUGGCGAAUCAGUAAAGAGAAUAUGCAUAUUUCAACCGGAAGAAUCCACAGUACCGCUGCUCACUCAAUGUUUAUGUAAUUAUCAUGAAUUUCAAAUUAAUGUCAUCUGAAUAAAUGGGGUCACACAUUAAAGAAGCAAAACAUGAUCGUUAGGGUAUUUUGGUUUUAAAAUUUGAUGAUUCUAUAUACAUAACAAAUUAGAGGGGAAUAAACAACUAAAUAAUUGAAGAAGGCUACUUUUGGUCAGGGUUGUUCUCAAUACUGGAAAGCUCUGACCUAAGAAAACACAGGC